GUGGCUUUGGAUAGGGAAGGGAGCCCGCAAAUCGUUGCGUCACAUCGGCUUUUGUAAUCGCUUCUGCUAAAUUCGUAAUGAUGGGGUCACGUGUUCGAGUCACGUAAGCGGCACCA
RNAcentral lists this transfer RNA (116 nucleotides) under Tsuneonella flava. RNAcentral describes it as "tRNA-OTHER". The record is from RNAcentral. Lineage: Bacteria; Pseudomonadati; Pseudomonadota; Alphaproteobacteria; Sphingomonadales; Erythrobacteraceae.